Non-coding RNA from Mus musculus (house mouse), 73 nucleotides. The record is from Rfam. NCBI's taxonomy places the organism in Eukaryota, Metazoa, Chordata, Mammalia, Rodentia, Muridae.
GUGGGCCUGGCUCAGCGGGUGAGAGCACUGACUGCUCUUCCAAAGGUCCUGAGUUCAAAUCUCAGCAACCACA